Molecule: ribosomal RNA, 445 nt
Filed under: uncultured bacterium
Lineage: Bacteria
Description: bacterial SSU rRNA
Rfam family: Bacterial small subunit ribosomal RNA
Source: RNAcentral
CCCAGACUCCUACGGGAGGCAGCAGUGGGGAAUAUUGCACAAUGGGGGGAACCCUGAUGCAGCGACGCCGCGUGGGUGAAGGAGUACUUCGGUACGUAAAGCCCUAUCAGCAGGAAAGAAAAUGACGGUACCUGACUAAGAAGCCCCGGCUAACUACGUGCCAGCAGCCGCGGUAAUACGUAGGGGGCAAGCGUUAUCCGGAUUUACUGGGUGUAAAGGGAGCGUAGACGGCAGUGCAAGUCCGGAGUGAAAGCCCGGGGCUCAACCCUGGGACUGCUCUGGAAACUGUAAAGCUGGAGUGCGAGAGGGGCAGGCGGAAUUCCUGGUGUAGCGGUGAAAUGCGUAGAUAUCAGGAGGAACACCGGCGGCGAAGGCGGCCUGCUGGACCGUAACUGACGUUGAGGCUCGAAAGCGUGGGGAGCAAACAGGAUUAGAUACCCGGGUA